UGAGCUGCUCCUGAUGUAGCGCGGACGGGUGAGUACCGUGGGUACCUGCCUGUAAACUGGAUACUCCGGGAACCGGGGCUAUCCGAUGCUUGUUUGACCGCAUGGUUCAACUAAAGGUGGCUUCGGCUACCACUUACAAUUGGACCCGCGGCGCAUUAGCUAGUUGGUGAGGUAACGGCUCACCAGGCAACGAUGCGUAGCCGACCUGAGAGGGUGAUCGGCCACACUGGAACUGAGACACGGCCCAGACUCCUACGGGAGGCAGCAGUAGGGAAUCUUCCGCAAUGGACGAAAGUCUGACGGAGCAACGCCGCGUGAGUGAUGAAGGUUUUCGGAUCGUAAAGCUCUGUUGUUAGGGAAGAACAAGUACCGUUCGAAUAGGGCGGUACCUUGACGGUACCUAACCAGAAAGCCACGGCUAACUACGUGCCAGCAGCCGCGGUAUACGUAGGUGCAAGCGUGCCGGAUUUUGGGGGGCCUAAGGA
Molecule: ribosomal RNA, 485 nt
Filed under: Bacillus subtilis
Lineage: Bacteria; Bacillati; Bacillota; Bacilli; Caryophanales; Bacillaceae
Description: bacterial SSU rRNA
Rfam family: Bacterial small subunit ribosomal RNA
Source: RNAcentral